GAGCGUUCCGCAGCAGAUGGGUGAUCCUCUUGGAAAGCUGCUGGAAAAGCGCCAUCAGGUUGCUAUGGCGACAUGGGAGAAAUGGAACAGUAUAAAUAAAUAAAUAAAUAAAUAAAUAGAAUGCGAGGUUCGAGUGAGAUGCCCCUAAAAGUCUCACCGGGGUCCGGCCGAAGUUCCGCUGUGGCGUUUGUGUUGACGGCAGAAAACCUUGGCCGCACGCUGAAGGCAGUACACCAGCCCGGCCACGAGAGGGCUCUUCAAGGACAUCUUCAGUCUGCAACUCAAGCGAAUACCGACAACGGCAAACGCACAACGUCGAGCUCGUCAGUGAAAUGGGAGCAUUGAAGUGCAUCGC
Long non-coding RNA from Syngnathus acus (greater pipefish), 355 nucleotides. RefSeq lists it as uncharacterized. The transcript is spliced from 2 exons. The record is from RefSeq and is a predicted model, not a curated record. Lineage: Eukaryota; Metazoa; Chordata; Actinopteri; Syngnathiformes; Syngnathidae.